GAUGAACGCUGGCGGCGUGCCUAAUACAUGCAAGUCGAGCGAACGGACGAGAAGCUUGCUUCUCUGAUGUUAGCGGCGGACGGGUGAGUAACACGUGGAUAACCUACCUAUAAGACUGGGAUAACUUCGGGAAACCGGAGCUAAUACCGGAUAAUAUUUUGAACCGCAUGGUUCAAUAGUGAAAGACGGUCUUGCUGUCACUUAUAGAUGGAUCCGCGCUGCAUUAGCUAGUUGGUAAGGUAACGGCUUACCAAGGCAACGAUGCAUAGCCGACCUGAGAGGGGGGUCCGCCAAACUGGAACUGAAGCACGGGCCAGGCCCCUACGGGAGGCAAGAGUAAGGAAACUUCCGCAAAGGGCGAAAGGCUGACGGGACAACGCCGCGUGAGGUGAGGAAGGCUUCAGAUCGGAAAACUCUGGUAAUAGGGAAGGACAUAAUUUGAAGGUACUGUUCACAGCUUGACGGUACCCAAACAAAAAGGCACGGCUAACUACGUG
RNAcentral lists this ribosomal RNA (497 nucleotides) under uncultured bacterium. RNAcentral describes it as "partial 16S ribosomal RNA". It matches the Rfam family "Bacterial small subunit ribosomal RNA", at positions 28 to 507 of the family's 1533-position model. The record is from RNAcentral.